UUCCUAUUAAGUGAUGUUAGGAGUUAGGACCAAUUGUAGACAGGGAUACUUAAGCAACAGCUAUGAAUGUUGCUGGUCUACUUUUACAUGUUUGAUAAACCUAAUGAUAUGAAGUUCUUGUUCAGCUAGAGUAGAGCAUGGAAAUAUAAUUAGCAAAAAUCAGUAUGAAACAGCUUCUGCAUGACAAACAAAAAAUAUUACUAC
Molecule: long non-coding RNA, 204 nt
Filed under: Setaria italica (foxtail millet)
Lineage: Eukaryota; Viridiplantae; Streptophyta; Magnoliopsida; Poales; Poaceae
Description: long non-coding RNA (SITA_LNC004967)
Source: RNAcentral